UAUCUAGGUGCUUCAAUUUGGAUGCUGUUUGUUUUGAUGGACUUCACAGAUGGAUGCAACAUCUCAGCACCUCCAGCUGGUGGUGGCAUGGUCUCCUCACUCCUGCUAGAGAACAUUCUUCUGAGGAGAAGGCAUGGUGGUGGAAAGAAGUUUAAAGCUGAUAUAAUUUGUGGGGUACCUUCCUCUUUGCAAUGGAGUACAAAAAGAAAGUUGAUGAUGAGGUAGAUUCUGUUUCUAGCAAGCAGCUGGGUUUAUGUCAAUGCAUUCGUCUUUAAUUCUAGCUGAUCCUUCCCAGCACUUUAGAUAAGGUGAAAAAGGGUGUUUGCAAUGUUUUUUUCUUUUUUUUAUGCCUAAAGGCUUGUUCUCUGGCUUAUCUGUGGGACAAUUUGGCUGUGAAUUAGAGGUAAUUAGUGCCACCUAUUAACUUCCUCUAGCAAGAAGUUUUGCUUUGUAUCUCUGUCCAUUAAGAUACCCCAGCUCUGAAGACCAAGCAUUGGUGACUCUAUGGAAAACCAGCGAAGAGACUUGCUAUCACCCCUAUAUUCAGCAGUCAUCAGGCGCUCAAAAUACAUUUGACUUGCUAAACGUGCAAAAGUGCUAGCAAAGGAGACACUGCUAUUCACCCAGUGUUAUGGAAUGAUGCUAGUUACAAUGUCCCAAACACUGUUACUUUCCCCACCCACUCUGGCACCACUGCAAAGACCUGGCCAAGUUCCUGAAGGGUCUUGUAAUUUGGUUCAUUAAUACCUAGAUCCAUUGAUGAUCUAGUGUAUAUCCUGUUUAUUUUUUCUUUCUGGAUAACUGCUUUAGGAUCACUCAGAAAUUAGCUGCCUGGCAACAUGAAAGUGCAGAUAUCUAAAUGAACUGCAUGCUUUUCAACUGGUUCCAUAAAUGUAGCCCAAGUAGAGUUGUGGCAAAACAGAUGUCUGGAGACUUUAGUGAGAGUCAAGGCAGAUACUAUCCAGUCUCCCUAAGGAGUAGAGAGAGGUAGCCUCCAAUAAGCUCUUGUGUCUGCUGCCCAACUGGCUUUAUUAAAUCCAGGUUCAACACAAAAGCAGAACAAUGUGUGUGUCUGUUCCCAGUGCAAGCUUCCCAACAGCUUGGUUUCAGGUGACAGGUUAAAUUGAUGACUCAAUGUAAUGUCCUCCUUCUGAAUCAUGUCACAAGAACUUUACAGCUUGGACCUUCCUGCCUUCCCUUCCUUGUCUCCCUUGAGAAGUAGGUGUGGAGCUGUGCUGCUGUCAAAACUCUGAACGACCCAGUGGCCUGCUGAACACAUGAGAUCGGCCGUCAGUGUGUGUUUUGAUUUUAGCACUUUAGCUUUCUACCCUUUUUUGUUGUCUUAUUUGAUUAUUAUUGUCUCUUUAUAAAAUGGAGGAAUAUUGCUAGUGUUUAGAAAGGGAACGGGAGUCUGUAUCCUAGGCUUUGUUCAGUGUGUGGCCAUGACAUUCUGGCAGUCUGAACAAUGGGUGCAAGAAACUAUUUCUCCUCUAGGAGAAAUUGUUUUGGGGGUGGGGGAGGGAAGCUUUGAGAUCACGCAAGGAAAGGGGCUAUGUAAGCAGAGGGUGCCUAGUUGUGAGUUGGACCGUGCGUAUGUUUGAUAAUGGAAACCAAAAUUUACUGUUAAUGGGUAACAUGUUCAAAAGCAUCCCAAACCCAUUUUCAGUUAAUGCUGAACUUGAAUUUGGCACCUUGGCCUCUUUUGGAAACAAAGACCUAGGAGAUCCUCCUGCAAGUAACAGGUGCCUAACUCUGAACCUUCUUGAAAACUUUUUGGGAAUCCCACUGGUUGCCCUUAUCAGUCACUGAGUGCUGGAAGGCUCUUGUUAGUCUGGCCUAAAUGUGAAUGCUUUUGGAAAACUAUAACCGAAGUAACUACUCACAGUGAGCACUUGACCCUAUCGCUGCUAUAGAUGCUACAGGAUUAUACCCAUCACUUCAUGAAUCUUCUCACAUACAUCCAUUUGGAGAUCUACAACGCCAGGAAGUACAGGCAGAACGUGGAACAGCGGUGGACAAAAUAAACAGGAUGUGGCAAUGCUGUGGUGAGGCCAGAACCCCGCUGGAGGAGGGAGAUCCUUUCUAGAUCACCUACUUGGCUUUAAAAACUCUCUCCCCGAACUCUUUUAGCUGCUGCUUUAGACAUGUCUUUAAGAAUACAACCAUCCCUGGAACUGGAAUGGUGGCACCAGGUGGCUUCAGGUGUAUGAUCUGAAGAAGAGGGAAAAGAAACUAUUUGGCUGAGAUAGCAUCAAAAGGCAGAGCUGAGCUAGGAUAAGAACCCAGGAGUCCUGCACUUUCCUGGCGCUCAGGCCGGUGCCCUGCUGUGAACAGGGAAGAACGAACACCUCUUCCACUCCUAAAAGGACUUCUGCCUUCCAUGUGCUGCCCAGGGCACUGCGUUGCUUACCUUACAAGAUCUGAUGAAGUUUCUGUCUUAGGCCCAGAUGUCGUUCUUCCCAUCCUGUAUGAGGGCCUUGUUCUCGUGUUGAUGAAAUGAAAAAGCAACCAUGACUUGAGUUAAAGUGGCAUUUUCCUGAUUGUUCGGUGCAAUGGAACUCGUCUGGUGAAACCGUCCUCCUGCCUGGAGCACGUCUGCGUGGCAGGCAAUUACCUCUGCUGUGUGCUCCCUUCACAACAGCUGCUCUGCCUCAUGUGUUUUCAUUUAAGUGGUGCUUUUUGUUUUAUCUUCUGCUGAAAUGCUCAUUUUCAGUGAAAACUACUCCAUUGUGUCUAGGCAAGAUGUGUUGUUUUAAUAGCAACUCUCAGACUGCAGUAAUGUAGAUGUUUACCCAUCCCCAGGGUGAUGUGGUCCCAAAGGCUUUGGCAAGGGAGGCCCUGCUGCAUUCUUAUUGCUUCCAUGCCUGCCUAGGGACUGUGGUGCUGCCUGUUAUUUUGAUGAACUAAGAUCUCUGGAUAGAGUAGGUAAUUCACAAAGGUGAACCUGCCCUGGGGAGGUGGCAGCCUGCUCAUGAGAAUGCCAUUUGUCAAACGUGCAAUGAGUCUUCAGCAUUGACGUGUCCUUCCUGAGGCAGUGCUGGAAAGGCCCUGGUACUACAGUGUGUGUCCUGCUUACUGCCUUCUAAGGGGCCAGACUCAGCUGUGACAGCAGCAUUCUGGAUAGAAACCCUGAGUUGCAUCCAGGUGGAAAUGG
Long non-coding RNA from Aptenodytes forsteri (emperor penguin), 3154 nucleotides. RefSeq lists it as uncharacterized. The transcript is spliced from 3 exons. The record is from RefSeq and is a predicted model, not a curated record. Lineage: Eukaryota; Metazoa; Chordata; Aves; Sphenisciformes; Spheniscidae.